CCUGUCUCAUUCUCUCCCCAAUCUCCUUGUCUCAGUCUAUCCCUAUCUGUCUUAGUCUCUCUCCAUCUUUCUCUCUAGCUCUCUCUGUCUCAGUCUCUCUCCAUCUUUCUCUCUAGCUCUCUCUCCAUCUUUCUCUCUAGCUCUCUCUGUCUCAGUCUCUCUCCAUCUUUCUCUCUAGCUCUCUCUGUCUCAGUCUCUCUCCAUCUUUCUCUCUAGCU
Molecule: non-coding RNA, 218 nt
Organism: Pelobates cultripes (western spadefoot toad)
Lineage: Eukaryota; Metazoa; Chordata; Amphibia; Anura; Pelobatidae
Source: the annotation of a GenBank genome assembly